AACGAACGCUGGCGGCGUGCUUAACACAUGCAAGUCGAACGGAACGGCCCUGCUUUUUUGGGCUGCUCUAGUUGCGAACGGGUGAGUAACCCUUGAGUACCCUGCCCUUCACUUUGGGAUAACUUCAGGCAACUUGGUCUCAUCCCGGCUAGGAGCUCCUGCUUCAUGGUGGGCGUUGGAUAGUUUCGGCGGUUGGGGAUGUACUCGCGGCUUAUCAGCUUGUUGGUGGGGUAGUGGCUUACCAAGGCUUUGACGGGUAGCCGGACUGAGAGGGUGACCGGCCACAGUGGGACUGAGAUACGGCCAAGACUCCUACGGGAGGCAGCAGUGGGGAAUAGUGAACAAGGGGCGGAAGCCUGAUGCAGCAACGCCGCGUGCGGGAUGACGGCCUUCGGGUUGUAAACCGAUUUCGCCUGUGACGAAGCGUGAGUGAAGGUAAUGGGUAAAGAAGCACCGGCUAACUACGUG
This 468-nucleotide ribosomal RNA is filed under the name uncultured bacterium. RNAcentral describes it as "partial 16S ribosomal RNA". It matches the Rfam family "Bacterial small subunit ribosomal RNA", at positions 29 to 507 of the family's 1533-position model. The record is from RNAcentral.